AAUUAUUAUAGUAAAACUAUUGACUAAUCUAGGUUGACAAACUGAAAGUAAUCUCGAAAUCAGACCCAUCAAUGAAUAGUUAUAGUUCUCUGAUGUAUUUGGCUGAAAAAGUUAAAAGAAACUGAAUUAGGUAAAUAGUACAUCAUACUGUUCAUAAGUCCAUAUCUGUAUUUUCCUUAUGCUAGACCGGCAACAACUUUCAGAUGCAAACACCCUCUCUGGAAAUCAGCAUUUAACCGAAGUAAAACCGGAUGUAGUGCUCGAUGACAUCAAUAUGUGAACUGUAAUGUCAAAAAGAUCAAAGUGAGGUCUUAUGAGAUUUUUACAUUAGGUUCCACCAAACGGAAAGAAAACAGGAUGUAAACCAAAUUUAGCAUAAGUGCAAGAAAUAUGUGCUAGUGAAUUUUAUCGGGACUGAGUGCACGAUUGGGAAAUACAGCAACAAAAAUCUCCACUCUGUUAUCUAACUACACAAAAUUUUGACUACCUUUAAAAUUUACAUAUAACUAUGCAAAAAAUUGAAUUAUGCUUACCUUUCAAAUAGAUAAUAUAUAUUGCCGUGGAAAAAUAAAGUUGAUAAACACAAUCAGCUUGGUUUCUCCUCGUACACAUUAACACAAACAACUUAUGUGCGGUGAAAGGGGAAGUUCAUCUUUUCUGUACAGCCGCACUUCAAAUAUGGGGGUUUGACCCACAUGAACCAAAGUAGAGAGAGAGAGAGAGAGAGAGAGAGAGAGAGAGAGGCGGCGACGAACGGUGGGCGCAGAGCAUCGAGGGGUGGACCGGUGGAGGCAGCAACGGCCUCGCCGUUUCUCUCAGUCUCUCUCCCGUCGCCUCUCUGACUCUAUGGAAGAAGGGAGGAGCGGGCGCCGUUUCUCUCAGUCUCUCUCCCGUCGCCUCUCUGACUCUACGGAAGAAGGGAGGAGCGGGCGAGGAGCGUCCGCACGCAAGUUGAUUUCCGUACGUUUCUUCUUUCCUAUAGGUAUAGAAAUUUUCGGCG
RNAcentral lists this long non-coding RNA (1000 nucleotides) under Triticum aestivum (bread wheat). Its description in RNAcentral is "long non-coding RNA (TAES_LNC021863)". Lineage: Eukaryota; Viridiplantae; Streptophyta; Magnoliopsida; Poales; Poaceae. The record is from RNAcentral.